This 439-nucleotide ribosomal RNA is filed under the name uncultured bacterium. RNAcentral's name for it is "bacterial SSU rRNA". It matches the Rfam family "Bacterial small subunit ribosomal RNA", at positions 954 to 1392 of the family's 1533-position model. The record is from RNAcentral.
GCAAAACGCGAAGAACCUUACCAGGCCUUGACAUGCAGAGAACUUUCCAGAGAUGGAUUGGUGCCUUCGGGAACUCUGACACAGGUGCUGCAUGGCUGUCGUCAGCUCGUGUCGUGAGAUGCUGGGUUAAGUCCCGUAACGAGCGCAACCCUUGUCCUUAGUUACCAGCACGUCAUGGUGGGCACUCUAAGGAGACUGCCGGUGACAAACCGGAGGAAGGUAGGGAUGACGUCAAGUCAUCAUGGCCCUUACGGCCUGGGCUACACACGUGCUACAAUGGUCGGUACAGAGGGUUGCCAAGCCGCGAGGUGGAGCUAAUCUCACAAAACCGAUCGUAGUCCGGAUCGCAGUCUGCAACUCGACUGCGUGAAGUCGGAAUCGCUAGUAAUCGCGAAUCAGAAUGUCGCGGUGAAUACGUUCCCGGGUCUUGUACACACCG